This 317-nucleotide long non-coding RNA is filed under the name Brachypodium distachyon (stiff brome). RNAcentral's name for it is "long non-coding RNA (BDIS_LNC003030)". The record is from RNAcentral. Lineage: Eukaryota; Viridiplantae; Streptophyta; Magnoliopsida; Poales; Poaceae.
CGACCGGCGGCUUGGGCUUGGACGGACCCGGCUUGGGCUUCGGGGUCGGGUCUGGCUUCGGAGUGGGCUUUCCUGCAUCAGGAGCGGGCUGCGGUUCGGGUUUCGGCUUCGGUUGAUCUGGUUGAGUAGGCUUGGGCUUCGGUUGAUCUGGUUGAGUAGGCUUAGGCUUCGGCUGUUCUGGUUGAGUAGGCUUGGGCUUGGGCUGCUCUGGUUCAGUAGGCUUGGGCUUGGGCUGCUCUGGUUUAGUGGGCUUUAGCUUGGGGUCAAUGACGUCUGCUCCGUCGGCCUCCGCUGCAGCCACAGCGACGACGAGCAGC